GAUGAACGCUGGCGGCGUGCCUAACACAUGCAAGUCGAGCGAGGGUUUGCUCAGUAUUGAGUAUUCUAAGACUAGAAUGUUCAAUUCUGAGCAAAACCAAGCGGCGGACGGGUGAGUAACGCGUGGGUAACCUGCCCUAUACACAUGGAUAACAUACUGAAAAGUUUACUAAUACAUGAUAAUAUAUAUUUGUGGCAUCGCAGAUAUAUCAAAGUGUUAGCGGUAUAGGAUGGACCCGCGUCUGAUUAGCUAGUUGGUGAGAUAACUGCCCACCAAGGCGACGAUCAGUAGCCGACCUGAGAGGGUGAUCGGCCACAUUGGAAC
This 324-nucleotide ribosomal RNA is filed under the name uncultured Peptostreptococcus sp. Its description in RNAcentral is "bacterial SSU rRNA". It matches the Rfam family "Bacterial small subunit ribosomal RNA", at positions 28 to 319 of the family's 1533-position model. The record is from RNAcentral. Lineage: Bacteria; Bacillati; Bacillota; Clostridia; Peptostreptococcales; Peptostreptococcaceae.